UAGGGAAUCUUGCGCAAUGGGCGAAAGCCUGACGCAGCAACGCCGCGUGGGGGAUGAAGGCCCUCGGGUUGUAAACCCCUUUCAGCAGGAACGAAUCUGACGGUACCUGCAGAAGAAGGCCCGGCUAACUACGUGCCAGCAGCCGCGGUAACACGUAGGGGCCAAGCGUUGACCGGAUUCAUUGGGCGUAAAGAGCUCGUAGGCGGUUCAGUUAGUCGGAUGUGAAAUCUCCGGGCUCAACUCGGAGGGGCCACCCGAUACUGCUGAGACUCGAGUCCGGUAGGGGAGUGGGGAAUUCCUGGUGUAGCGGUGAAAUGCGCAGAUAUCAGGAGGAACACCGGUGGCGAAGGCGCCACUCUGGGCCGGUACUGACGCUGAGGAGCGAAAGCGUGGGGAGCAAACAGG
RNAcentral lists this ribosomal RNA (405 nucleotides) under bacterium. Its description in RNAcentral is "partial 16S ribosomal RNA". It matches the Rfam family "Bacterial small subunit ribosomal RNA", at positions 355 to 776 of the family's 1533-position model. The record is from RNAcentral.